GACGAACCGUGCGAACGUUGUUCGGAAUCACUGGGCUUAAAGGGCGCGUAGGCGGCUUAUCAAGUCCGGGGUGAAAUCUUUCGGCUUAACCGGAAAAGUGCCUUGGAUACUGAUGAGCUUGAGGGAGGUAGGGGCAGCUGGAACUUCCAGUGGAGCGGUGAAAUGCGUUGAUAUUGGAAGGAACUCCGGUGGCGAAAGCGAGCUGCUGGAUCUCUUCUGACGCUGAGGCGCGAAAGCUAGGGGAGCGAACGGG
RNAcentral lists this ribosomal RNA (253 nucleotides) under uncultured bacterium. Its description in RNAcentral is "partial 16S ribosomal RNA". It matches the Rfam family "Bacterial small subunit ribosomal RNA", at positions 524 to 776 of the family's 1533-position model. The record is from RNAcentral.